CGUAAAGAGCUCGUAGGUGGUUUGUCGCGUUGUUCGUGAAAUCUCACGGCUUAACUGUGAGCGUGCGGGCGAUACGGGCAGACUUGAGUACUGCAGGGGAGACUGGAAUUCCUGGUGUAGCGGUGGAAUGCGCAGAUAUCAGGAGGAACACCGGUGGCGAAGGCGGGUCUCUGGGCAGUAACUGACGCUGAGGAGCGAAAGCGUGUGGAGCGAACAGGAUUAGAUACCCUGGUAGUCCACGCCGUAAACGGUGGGUACUAGGUGUGGGUUUCCUUCCUUGGGAUCCGUGCCGUAGCUAACGCAUUAAGUACCCCGCCUGGGGAGUACGGCCGCAAGGCUAAAACUCAAAGAAAUUGACGGGGGCCCGCACAAGCGGCGGAGCAUGUGGAUUAAUUCGAUGCAACGCGAAGAACCUUACCUGGGUUUGACAUGCACAGGACGCCGGCAGGGAUGUCGGUUCCCUUGUGGCCUGUGUGCAGGUGGUGCAUGGCUGUCGUCAGCUCGUGUCGUGAGAUGUUGGGUUAAGUCCCGCAACGAGCGCAACCCUUGUCUCAUGUUGCCAGCGGGUAAUGCCGGGGACUCGUGAGAGACUGCCGGGGUCAACUCGGAGGAAGGUGGGGAUGACGUCAAGUCAUCAUGCCCCUUAUGUCCAGGGCUUCACACAUGCUACAAUGGCCGGUACAAAGGGCUGCGAUGCCGCGAGGUUAAGCGAAUCCUUUUAAAGCCGGUCUCAGUUCGGAUCGGGGUCUGCAACUCGACCCCGUGAAGUCGGAGUCGCUA
This 780-nucleotide ribosomal RNA is filed under the name uncultured bacterium. Its description in RNAcentral is "bacterial SSU rRNA". It matches the Rfam family "Bacterial small subunit ribosomal RNA", at positions 559 to 1337 of the family's 1533-position model. The record is from RNAcentral.